AAACAGUAUGUGGUGCCAAAUAUAUUAGAGAUACAGAAUCAAGACAAUGGACGCUCGAUAAGUUACGACAGCUGUAUUCUGGUCCAGAGAAGAAUUUCUUAUAUAAUGUUACUUACGAUGAACAUUCCUUGGAUCCCAACACUUUGGCUGUGCAACUGAUCGGUAUUGAAUACAAGCUUCCAAAUAUAACAGAUAUAUACACUUACAAUGCGACGAGGGAACUGUUGUAUUUGAACAAUAUGCCACGGUCGGCUGAAAUUCUUGCAUCAAAAUUGUAUCAGGACUUUGUCAACUAGAACGAUUUUUGUAUAUUGAAUAUUUUAUCAACUACCAGAACAUAUUUUGAAAAUACAAGAAAGAGAAACUUUUCAGCAUCUUUUGAAUAUUUAAAUUUACUUGUUUUAAAGAAAAAAAAAUGAAAACUGAAAAAAUGUUAACCCGGUAACCUUGAUGUGACCAUGUUUAACAAACCAUUUAGUCACAACUAAUGUAAAAGUUAUGACAUUGGCGAGAAUUUUAUAGUCGUAGGACCAGUGAUUUUGACAUUGUGAAAUAAACCAAUAAAAAAUUGGAUAUUGCUCAGA
Saccostrea cuccullata (small rock oyster) is the source of this 584-nucleotide long non-coding RNA. RefSeq lists it as uncharacterized. The record is from RefSeq and is a predicted model, not a curated record. The transcript is spliced from 2 exons. Lineage: Eukaryota; Metazoa; Mollusca; Bivalvia; Ostreida; Ostreidae.